UGGGGAAUAUUGGUCAAUGGGGGCAACCCUGAACCAGCAAUGCCGCGUGAAGGAAGAAGGCCUUCGGGUUGUAAACUUCUUUGACCAGGGACGAUAAUGACGGUACCUGGAAAACAAGCCACGGCUAACUACGUGCCAGCAGCCGCGGUAAUACGUAGGUGGCGAGCGUUGUCCGGAUUUACUGGGUGUAAAGGGCGUGUAGGCGGGACUGCAAGUCAGAUGUGAAAUCCAGGGGCUUAACCCUUGAACUGCAUUUGAAACUGUGGUUCUUGAGUGAUGGAGAGGCAGGCGGAAUUCCUUGUGUAGCGGUGAAAUGCGUAGAUAUAAGGAGGAACACCAGUGGCGAAGGCGGCUUUCUGGACGAUAACUGACGCUGAGGCGCGAAAGCGUGGGUAGCAAACAGG
Molecule: ribosomal RNA, 404 nt
Filed under: uncultured prokaryote
Also listed under: 1 other name
Description: bacterial SSU rRNA
Rfam family: Bacterial small subunit ribosomal RNA
Source: RNAcentral